RNAcentral lists this ribosomal RNA (373 nucleotides) under uncultured organism. RNAcentral describes it as "partial 16S ribosomal RNA". It matches the Rfam family "Bacterial small subunit ribosomal RNA", at positions 527 to 896 of the family's 1533-position model. The record is from RNAcentral.
GUAGGUGGCAAGCGUUGUCCGGAAUUAUUGGGCGUAAAGCGCGCGCAGGUGGGUUCUUUAAGUCUGAUGUGAAAGCCCCCGGGCUCAACCGGGGAGGGUCAUUGGAAACUGGGGAACUUGAGUGCAGGAGAGGAAAGUGGAAUUCCACGCGUAGCGGUGAAAUGCGUAGAUAUGUGGAGGAACACCAGUGGCGAAGGCGACUUUCUGGCCUGUAACUGACACUGAGGCGCGAAAGCGUGGGGAGCAAACAGGAUUAGAUACCCUGGUAGUCCACGCCGUAAACGAUGAGUGCUAAGUGUUGGGGGGUUUCCGCCCCUCAGUGCUGCAGCUAACGCAUUAAGCACUCCGCCUGGGGAGUACGGUCGCAAGACUG